Molecule: ribosomal RNA, 253 nt
Filed under: uncultured prokaryote
Description: partial 16S ribosomal RNA
Rfam family: Bacterial small subunit ribosomal RNA
Source: RNAcentral
ACGUAGGGUGCAAGCGUUAAUCGGAAUUACUGGGCGUAAAGCGUGCGCAGGCGGUUUUGUAAGACAGAGGUGAAAUCCCCGGGCUUAACCUGGGAACUGCCUUUGUGACUGCAAGGCUUGAGUGCGGCAGAGGGGGAUGGAAUUCCGCGUGUAGCAGUGAAAUGCGUAGAUAUGCGGAGGAACACCGAUGGCGAAGGCAGCCUUCUGGGCCAACUCUGACGCUCAUGCACGAAAGCGUGGGGAGCAAACGGGA